CCUUAAAGCUUCAUUUUUAUCAAUUGGCAAAAUUACUUGAACACUUCCUUUUCCAAAAGUUUUUUCUCCAACCAAUACUGCUCUUUUGUGAUCUUGUAAAGAACCACUUACAAUCUCACUUGCACUUGCACUUCCACCAUUUACCAAUACAACUAAAGGGAUAUUUUUAUAAGUUCCAUUUUGUGUUGCUUUGUACUCUCUAUUUUCACUUUUAACUCUUCCUUUUUGUGAAACAAUUAUGCCACUAUCUACAAAAAGAUUAACAGUUCCAACAGCUUGAUCUAAAAGACCUCCAGGAUUGUUUCUUA
Molecule: non-coding RNA, 308 nt
Filed under: marine eukaryotic metagenome
Source: RNAcentral